GCCAGGUGUGAUGGUGCAUGCCUAUAGUCCCACCUAUUCAGGAGGCUGAGAUGGGAGGACUGUUUAGCCAAGGAAUUUUUGCUGUAAUAUGCAUGCUAGUUAGGUGUCUGAACUAUGUUUGGCACCAAUGUGGUGACCUCCUGGGAGCAUGGGACCACCAGGUUGCCUAAGAAGGGGUGAAAUGUCCCAGGUUGGAAACGAAGAGGUAAAAACUCCCAUGCUGAUCAGCAGUGGGAUUCUGCCUGUGAAUAGCCACUGCACUCCAGCCUGGGCAACACAGUGAGACCCUGUCUCUU
Molecule: signal recognition particle RNA, 296 nt
Filed under: Callithrix jacchus (white-tufted-ear marmoset)
Lineage: Eukaryota; Metazoa; Chordata; Mammalia; Primates; Cebidae
Description: Metazoan signal recognition particle RNA (ENSCJAG00000037119.4)
Rfam family: Metazoan signal recognition particle RNA
About the family: The signal recognition particle (SRP) is a universally conserved ribonucleoprotein. It is involved in the co-translational targeting of proteins to membranes.
Source: Rfam by way of RNAcentral